GCUUGCUGAAUACACGACCGGCGCACGGGUGAGUACACGUUUGCACCUUCCUCUAACUGGAGAAUAGCCCGAAGAAAUUCGGAUUAAUACUCCAUAAAGUCAAUUUAAGGCAUCUUUUAUUGAUUAAAGCUCCGGCGGUUAGAGAUGGGCAUGCGUGUCAUUAGCUAGUUGGUGAGGUAACGGCUCACCAAUGCCACGAUGACUAGGGGGUCUGAGAGGAUGAUCCCCCACACUGGUACUGAGACACGGACCAGACUCCUACGGGAGGCAGCAGUGAGGAAUAUUGGGCAAUGGACGCAAGUCUGACCCAGCCAUGCCGCGUGCAGGAUGACUGCCCUAUGGGUUGUAAACUGCCUUUGUUUGGGAAGAAACCCCCGAUCGUGAUCGGGGCUGACGGUACCAUACGAAUAAGCAUCGGCUAACUCCGUGCCAGCAGCCGCGGUAAUACGGAGGAUGCAAGCGUUAUCCGGAUUCAUUGGGUUUAAAGGGUGCGCAGGCGGAAUAUUAAGUCAGUGGUGAAAUCCUGCAGCUUAACUGUAGAACUGCCAUUGAUACUGAUAUUCUUGAAUAUAGUUGAGGUGGGCGGAAUGUGUAAUGUAGCGGUGAAAUGCUUAGAUAUUACACAGAACACCAAUUGCGAAGGCAGCUCACUAAACUAAUAUUGACGCUGAGGCACGAAAGCGUGGGUAGCAAACAGGAUUAGAUACCCUGGUAGUCCACGCUGUAAACUAUGAUCACUCGCUGUUGGCAAUACAUCGUCAGCGGCUGAGCGGAAAGCAUUAAGUGAUCCACCUGGGGAGUACGGUCGCAAGAUUGAAACUCAAAGGAAUUGACGGGGGCCCGCACAAGCGGAGGAACAUGUGGUUUAAUUCGAUGAUACGCGAGGAACCUUACCUGGGCUUAAAUGCAGAGCGACGUCCGCCGAAAGGUGGAUUCCUUCGGGCGAUCUGCAAGGUGCUGCAUGGUUGUCGUCAGCUCGUGCCGUGAGGUGUCGGGUUAAGUCCCAUAACGAGCGCAACCCUUAUCGUUAGUUGCCAGCGGGUAAUGCCGGGGACUCUAACGAAACUGCCGGUGUAAACCGUGAGGAAGGUGGGGAUGACGUCAAAUCAGCACGGCCCUUAUGUCCAGGGCUACACACGUGUUACAAUGGUCGGUACAGAGGGCAGCUACCACGCAAGUGGAUGCUAAUCUCGAAAACCGGUCUCAGUUCGGAUUGAAGUCUGCAACUCGACUUCAUGAAGCUGGAUUCGCUAGUAAUCGCGCAUCAGCCAUGGCGCGGUGAAUACGUUCCCGGGCAUUGUACACACCGCCCGUCAA
Molecule: ribosomal RNA, 1317 nt
Filed under: uncultured organism
Description: bacterial SSU rRNA
Rfam family: Bacterial small subunit ribosomal RNA
Source: RNAcentral